UACAGAGGGUGCGAACGUUGCUCGGAAUUACUGGGCGUAAAGCGCGUGUAGGCGGGCCGAUAAGUCAGGCGUGAAAUCCCCAGGCUCAACCUGGGAACUGCGUUUGAAACUGCCGGUCUUGAGCGUCGGAGAGGGUGGCGGAAUUCCUGGUGUAGAGGUGAAAUUCGUAGAUAUCAGGAGGAACACCGGUGGCGAAGGCGGCCACCUGGACGACAACUGACGCUGAGACGCGAAAGCGUGGGGAGCAAACAGG
RNAcentral lists this ribosomal RNA (253 nucleotides) under uncultured bacterium. RNAcentral's name for it is "partial 16S ribosomal RNA". It matches the Rfam family "Bacterial small subunit ribosomal RNA", at positions 524 to 776 of the family's 1533-position model. The record is from RNAcentral.